This 251-nucleotide ribosomal RNA is filed under the name uncultured bacterium. Its description in RNAcentral is "partial 16S ribosomal RNA". It matches the Rfam family "Bacterial small subunit ribosomal RNA", at positions 524 to 776 of the family's 1533-position model. The record is from RNAcentral.
UACGUAGGGGCAAGCGUUGUCCGGAAUCAUUGGGCGUAAAGCGCGUGUAGGCGGCUCAGUAAGUCCGCUCUGAAAGCCCGGGGCUCAACCCCGGGAGGCGGGUGGAUACUGCUGAGCUUGAGUCCGGAAGAGGCGAGUGGAAUCCCGGUGUAGCGGUGAAAUGCGCAGAUAUCGGGAGGAACACCAAUGGCGAAGGCAGCUCGCUGGGACGUGACUGACGCUGAGACGCGAAAGCGUGGGGAGCGAACAGG